Molecule: ribosomal RNA, 495 nt
Filed under: uncultured bacterium
Lineage: Bacteria
Description: partial 16S ribosomal RNA
Rfam family: Bacterial small subunit ribosomal RNA
Source: RNAcentral
GAUGAACGCUGGCGGCGUGCCUAAUACAUGCAAGUAGAACGCUGAAGGAGGAGCUUGCUCUUCUGGAUGAGUUGCGAACGGGUGAGUAACGCGUAGGUAACCUGCCUGGUAGCGGGGGAUAACUAUUGGAAACGAUAGCUAAUACCGCAUGACAACAGUUAUUGCAUGAUAACUGUUUAAAAGGGGCAACUGCUCCACUACCAGAUGGACCUGCGUUGUAUUAGCUAGUUGGUGAGGUAACGGCUCACCAAGGCGACGAUACAUAGCCGACCUGAGAGGGGGGUCGGCCACACGGGGACUGAGACACGGCCCAGACUCCUACGGGAGGCAGCAGUAGGGAAUCUUCGGCAAUGGACGGAAGUCUGAACGAGCAACGCCGCGUGAGUGAAGAAGGUUUUCGGAUCGUAAAGCUCUGUUGUAAGAGAAGAACGAGUGUGAGAGUGGAAAGUUCACACUGUGACGGUAUCUUACCAGAAAGGGACGGCUAACUACGUG